This 468-nucleotide ribosomal RNA is filed under the name uncultured bacterium. Its description in RNAcentral is "partial 16S ribosomal RNA". It matches the Rfam family "Bacterial small subunit ribosomal RNA", at positions 28 to 507 of the family's 1533-position model. The record is from RNAcentral.
GACGAACGCUGGCGGCGUGCUUAACACAUGCAAGUCGAACGGAAAGGCCCUGCUUUUGUGGGGUGCUCGAGUGGCGAACGGGUGAGUAACACGUGAGUAACCUGCCCUUGACUUUGGGAUAACUUCAGGAAACUGGGGCUAAUACCGGAUAGGAGCUCCUGCUGCAUGGUGGGGGUUGGAAAGUUUCGGCGGUUGGGGUUGGACUCCCGGCUUAUCAGCUUGUUGGUGGGGUAGUGGCUUACCAAGGCUUUGACGGGUAGCCGGCCUGAGAGGGUGACCGGCCACAUUGGGACUGAGAUACCGCCCAGACUCCUCCGGGAGGCGGCAGUGGGGAAUAUUGCACAAUGGGCGGAAGCCUGAUGCAGCAACGCCGCGUGCGGGAUGACGGCCUUCGGGUUGUAAACCGCUUUCGCCUGUGACGAAGCGUGAGUGACGGUAAUGGGUAAAGAAGCACCGGCUAACUACGUG